RNAcentral lists this microRNA precursor (53 nucleotides) under Ciona intestinalis (vase tunicate). RNAcentral's name for it is "microRNA cin-mir-4120 precursor". Lineage: Eukaryota; Metazoa; Chordata; Ascidiacea; Phlebobranchia; Cionidae. The record is from miRBase by way of RNAcentral.
CAUGAUGAUGAGAAUUUGUUCAUAUCUAUAUGGGUUGAGAUUCCAUCAAUGAA